CCUACGGGAGGCAGCAGUUUCGAAUCAUUCACAAUGGGCGAAAGCCUGAUGGUGCGACGCCGCGUGAGGGAUGAAGGCCUUCGGGUUGUAAACCUCUGUCACCGGGGAAGAAACGCUUCAAGUUAACAGCUUGAAGCCUGACUUAACCCGGAGAGGAAGCAGUGGCUAACUCUGUGCCAGCAGCCGCGGUAAUACAGAGACUGCAAGCGUUAUUCGGAUUCACUGGGCGUAAAGGGUGCGCAGGCGGCCAAAUGUGUGAGGCGUGAAAGCCCGGGGCUUAACCCCGGAAUUGCACCUCAAACUAUUUGGCUAGAGCAUUGGAGAGGGUAGCAGAAUUCACGGUGUAGCAGUGAAAUGCGUAGAUAUCGUGAGGAAUACCAGAGGCGAAGGCGGCUACCUGGACAAUUGCUGACGCUCAGGCACGAAAGCGUGGGGAGCAAAAGGGAUUAGAUACCCCUGUAGUCCACGCCCUAAACGGUGCACACUAGGUCUUGGCGGAUUCGACCCACCAGGGCCCAAGCUAACGCGUUAAGNGUGCCGCCUGAGGCUACGGUCGCAAGACUUAAAACNCAAAUGAAUUGACGNNGAGAGAGACGAGACGACGACGAGGGAGAGG
Molecule: ribosomal RNA, 616 nt
Filed under: uncultured bacterium
Lineage: Bacteria
Description: bacterial SSU rRNA
Rfam family: Bacterial small subunit ribosomal RNA
Source: RNAcentral